UACAUAGGGAGCAAGCGUUAUCCGGAAUGAUUGGGCGUAAAGCGUCCGCAGGUGGCAGUUCAAGUCUGCUGUCAAAGACCGGGGCUUAACUUCGGAAAGGCAGUGGAAACUGAACAGCUAGAGUAUGGUAGGGGCAGAGGGAAUUCCUGGUGUAGCGGUGAAAUGCGUAGAGAUCAGGAAGAACAUCGGUGGCGAAGGCGCUCUGCUGGACCAUAACUGACACUCAGGGACGAAAGCUAGGGGAGCGAAUGGG
RNAcentral lists this ribosomal RNA (253 nucleotides) under uncultured bacterium. RNAcentral's name for it is "partial 16S ribosomal RNA". It matches the Rfam family "Bacterial small subunit ribosomal RNA", at positions 524 to 776 of the family's 1533-position model. The record is from RNAcentral.